Non-coding RNA from Hydra vulgaris (swiftwater hydra), 861 nucleotides. The record is from RefSeq and is a predicted model, not a curated record. NCBI's taxonomy places the organism in Eukaryota, Metazoa, Cnidaria, Hydrozoa, Anthoathecata, Hydridae.
AUUUUGUCUUUUGUUUUCUUUGUGAUAUAAAAUUAUAAAUUUCUCAUGAAGGCAGAGGUUAGAAACUAUGGAUGUUGCUUUGAUAGGUUUACAGCGAUUUAUUAUUUUCUAUUUUCAUUUCAAAGUCAUUUUAAAUCUUUUAAUGCCGUGAAAUACAGAAAUGAUACAGAGCUUUCUAAAGAAAUUCGGAACUUAAAAGAAAAUUAUAAAACAAUAUAAAUCAAAACAACAUCCCAAAUUUGUAAUCUCUACCUUCAUGAGAAAUUUAUAAUUUUUUACCACAAAGAAAACAACCUACUUAAUAAAUAAGACAAAAUAUUAUCUAAGUGUUGACAUUCCAACAAAUUUCUACUGCCCUUUUUGUUACUGACUAAAUAGUUACAUCUUUUAAUACAUCAGAAGUCUUUCUACCGUAAUUUUCAAUUUAUUAGUAAAAGAUAUUGUUUUUUCAAAUAGUUUUUUUAAUGGUUUUUUUAUGCAUUUAAUAGCUGAUGAUUGCCAUGUAUGGCAUGAAACUCCAUAAACCCAGCCCUGGCCAAGCUAUGUUUUAUCAAAGCCAGCCCUGGUCAAAUAUCAAUCCAAGCUGCUUACUAAGUUUAUCCAGUAACAAGAAAUAUGAAAUAAUAACACUGCUUGUAACCUGCUUUAUAUCAUGAUGGGUCCAUCCGAGCAAACCUCCUACUACCUGCAAAAUAUCAGAUCGUUUAUCAUUGGGUGACUGAAAGUAGCGAAGCAGUAAGUUUGCUAUAAGAAACCUAUCAAAUGAGAAAAAAUGAGUAAAAUAAUUCUAUAAUUAAUGUAAUAAUAAUAUAAAUAAUAUGUAUCCAGUAGAAAAAAAACAAAAAACAACUGUUUAUAAAA